This 221-nucleotide long non-coding RNA is filed under the name Gallus gallus (chicken). Lineage: Eukaryota; Metazoa; Chordata; Aves; Galliformes; Phasianidae. The record is from RNAcentral.
CACCCUGGAUGCAGCCUGCUGGAUCACGCCAAACCUGGCAUAAGCUGACACUGCAAAGCUCCAAGGAGCAUCCGUCUGCAAAUGAGAUGUCCGUGGGGAGGAAGACAGAAAUUAGGAUGAGAAAUGCAAGGGAAGGGCAAAACUCUGAAGUCAAAAGAUUAACGCCUAUGCGGCUCUGAAGCUGCUCGCCAAGGCAGAACAACCUUCCUGGAGAUCCCGGC